GCCGAGAUAGCUCAGUUGGUAGAGCAACGCAUUCGUAAUGCGUGGGUCAUGAGUUCGAGCCUCAUUCUCGGCUCCA
This 76-nucleotide transfer RNA is filed under the name Puniceicoccales bacterium. Its description in RNAcentral is "tRNA-Thr". It matches the Rfam family "tRNA". From Rfam's summary of the family: Transfer RNA (tRNA) molecules are approximately 80 nucleotides in length. Their secondary structure includes four short double-helical elements and three loops (D, anti-codon, and T loops). Lineage: Bacteria; Pseudomonadati; Verrucomicrobiota; Opitutia; Puniceicoccales. The record is from RNAcentral.